GCUGCUGCUGCUGCUGCUGCUGCUGCUGCUGCUGCUGCUGCUGCUGCUGCUGCUGCUGCUGCUGCUGCUGCUGCUGCUGCUGCUGCUGCUGCUGCUGCUGCCAUAUUUGCCUGAUGUGCAAGAAUAAAACAGUUUAUCAGUUAAACUCACACAUAUGGAAGGAGGUUGAGAAAAUUCUGUCUAGCAUUAAAUUUUAGAUGUCAUGGAGGAGGAAUAGGGAUCAUCUGUUGCUCUUUUUUGAAGUUUUUUUUUAAGGAAGUUGACAAUGAAAACUGACUGUCUGGUUUUCAGGAGUGGAGCUAGGUCUAAGUCUGUGCUAUUUUUUAAUAUUUAGUGUUAAAACUGCUUGAAAAAGGUGUCUGAUACAUAUUUUUUCUCCUACAAUUCAAUACAUAAAGCCCUCCUUGUGCGAUAUUAUCUGAACAGAGCCCUUCGCUCUCAGACUGCAGGUUUGCUUUGUGGUUUUCUAGAGUUUGCAGAAGUUGAAUGAGCUGCAGAGCUUUCAGUUAUCAGGCGCCUCCGUUUUGGAAUCUGCUCCUGGUUUGGCUUCGGGAGGCAGACACCCUCUUUACUUUUAGGACUAGGCUUAAAACGUUCCUCUUUUAUUAAGCUUAUGGUUAGGGCUGCUCAGAAACUCAGACAGACAGAGAGACAGAGGUUUAGGUUUAGACUGCUUGGGGACUUCCCAUGAUGCACUGAGCACCUCUCCGCUACUGUCCUCUCCCUGUCUUCCAUAUAAUUAUAUAUCACCAUUACGUGUCACUAACUUUGUAUCUUCCCUGUAGUUUGUGUUUUGUUCUCUCUGCAGCUACAUGAUCCGCAGUCGCUGGAAUCACCAACCUCCAGAAUGUUCAUUGUUCUCUCAUGUAUUGUCUGUUCUCCACCUGCUGUUCUGCUACCCUCACCCCAACCACUCCCCCACUCCCCUCAUUCCCGCCCUCACCUCAAGUGGUCGAGGCAGAUGGCUGAAUUCCCUGUGCCUGGUUCUUUCUGAUUUUUUGGUUUGUUUUUUGUUCUUUCCCACUGUCACAAAGUGGUUGCUCAAAGGCAAACCAAAGAACACUUUGGAUUUUGUUGGGUUUCUCUGUUUAAAUUUUGUAUGUGAAGUGCUUUAAGAUGACAUAUAUUGUCAAUGGGUGCUGUAUUGAUAAAAUUCAACUGAAAAUUGAACAAAGGAAAAGGAAAGUGACUUUCCUAAACUGAAAAAAAAAACUUUGAAUGCCAGAUUACUAAUGGUUUACCAGAGUUACUUCAGUUCACUCGAAUAACACGGCUGUCACUUUGUGACUGUGGCCAUAUUUAAUCUGAUAUUGGAACCAUGUGUGCAGGUGUGGAUGUGAGAGGCAGUGAUUGGUGGAUCAACUACCUGCCUGCAGGUGAUUGGCUCAACUACAGAACAACAUCCAAGAUGCCAUACUGUAGAGGAAUCAUUCAUUCCCUUCUCCUUUCAACCAGCUUCGCUUAUAUCUAAUGUGUCCACCUGGAGCUUUUGCUAUACGGAUGGAUUUGUGAAUCUUUAGGCAUUAGCAGGAAGGAAUGAGCAUGCAGCUAAUGAUUUCAACCACACAGCAUCUAUUCUCAUCUGUCCAGACUUGCCUUUGUUAAACACUAGUCUGCUGGAGUUUAUGCGGGAAGAGAGAUGCUGUCUGCAUACAGAGACUGUAAAAGUACUGACCUCUGCAUCAAGGUGGUUCUACAGACUCACAGAAUGUUUUACACACCUGGAACAGCAGAGAUAUACAGAGAAUAUAAAGAGUGAGAGAGCAGGAAAAUGCCUCAAAAAUGGAACUGGGGACUCACUACUGACCACAUUUGCACUGCGAUGUAUGCAUCCUACCUACUCGGCUGUUGGGUUGCCUGAGGUAGCCUUAGAAACAAUGGAACAGGAAAUACCAUAAAGUAGUGAACGUGAGGCUGCAUGUCAUCAGUACACCCACAGAGAAGCUACUUACCCUCCCAUCAACCUGUGGAGGUGAAGAGAAGAAACAACUGCAGAUUCCAGACAGACAGGAUGGGCAUCUGUCUGAGUUAUGACUCAUCAUUAAUAGCAUGUUGAAUAAAACAUCACAGAGUGAGA
Molecule: long non-coding RNA, 2077 nt
Organism: Amphiprion ocellaris (clown anemonefish)
Lineage: Eukaryota; Metazoa; Chordata; Actinopteri; Pomacentridae
Exons: 4
Source: RefSeq, a predicted model, not a curated record